UACGUAGGGUGCGAGCGUUGUCCGGAAUUAUUGGGCGUAAAGAGCUCGUAGGCGGCUCGUCGCGUCUGCUGUGAAAGCCCGGGGCUUAACCCCGGGUCUGCAGUGGGUACGGGCGGGCUAGAGUGCGGUAGGGGAGACUGGAAUUCCUGGUGUAGCGGUGAAAUGCGCAGAUAUCAGGAGGAACACCGGUGGCGAAGGCGGGUCUCAGGGCCGUAACUGACGCUGAGGAGCGAAAGCAUGGGUAGCGAAC
RNAcentral lists this ribosomal RNA (250 nucleotides) under uncultured prokaryote. RNAcentral's name for it is "partial 16S ribosomal RNA". It matches the Rfam family "Bacterial small subunit ribosomal RNA", at positions 524 to 773 of the family's 1533-position model. The record is from RNAcentral.